GAUGAACGCUGGCGGCGUGCCUAAUACAUGCAAGUCGAGCGAACAGACGAGGAUGUUGCUCCUCUGAAGUUAGCGGCGGAGGGGUGAGUAACACGUGGAUAACCUACCUAUAAGACUGGCAGAACUUCGGGAAAGCGGAGCCAAGAUCGGAUAAUAUAUAGAACUGCAUGGUUCAAUAGAGAGAGAUGGUUCUGCUGAGACUUAUAGCUGGAUACGCGCUUGAUUCGCUAGCUGGUAAGGUAACGGAUUACCAAGGGAACGAUGCGUAGCCGCCCUGGGAGUGUGAUCGGCCACACUGGAACGGAGGCACGGCCCAGACGCCUACGAGAGGCAGCCGUUAGGAAUCCUCCGCGAUGGGGGAGAGCAUAACGGAGCAACGCCGCGUCAGUGAUGAAGGUCUUCGGAUCGUAAAACUCUGUUAUUAGGGUAGAAAAGAUGUUUAAGUAACUAUGCACGUCUUGACGGUACCUAAUCAGAAAGCCACGGCUAACUACGUG
This 497-nucleotide ribosomal RNA is filed under the name uncultured bacterium. RNAcentral describes it as "partial 16S ribosomal RNA". It matches the Rfam family "Bacterial small subunit ribosomal RNA", at positions 28 to 507 of the family's 1533-position model. The record is from RNAcentral.